RNAcentral lists this ribosomal RNA (234 nucleotides) under uncultured bacterium. RNAcentral's name for it is "partial 16S ribosomal RNA". It matches the Rfam family "Bacterial small subunit ribosomal RNA", at positions 28 to 263 of the family's 1533-position model. The record is from RNAcentral.
GAUGAACGCUGGCGGCGUGCCUAACACAUGCAAGUUGAGCGAUCUUCUUCGGAAGAGAGCGGCGGACGGGUGAGUAACGCGUGGGUAACCUACCCUGUACACACGGAUAACAAUACCGAAACGGUAAUGCUAAUACGAGAUAAUAUGUUUCUAUUCGCAUGUUUGUAAACAAUCAAAGACUCCGGCGGUAUAGGAUGGACCCGCGUCUGAUUAGCUAGUUGGUUGAGGUAACGG